AGAGUUUGAUCAUGGCUCAGGACGAACGCUGGCGGCGUGCCUAACACAUGCAAGUCGAGCGGGGAAUAUUGAGCAGCUUGCUGCUUGGUAUUUCUAGCGGCGGACGGGUGAGUAACGCGUGAGCAACCUGCCUUUAUCAGGGGGAUAACGCAUCGAAAGAUGUGCUAAUACCGCGUAAGACCACAGCUUCACAUGGAGCAGAGGUCAAAGGAGCAAUCCGGGAUAAAGAUGGGCUCGCGUCCGAUUAGCUAGUUGGUGAGAUAACAGCCCACCAAGGCGACGAUCGGUAGCCCGACCUGAGAGGGUGAUCGGCCACAUUGGAACUGAGAAACGGUCCAGACUCCUACGGGAGCA
This 354-nucleotide ribosomal RNA is filed under the name uncultured bacterium. RNAcentral's name for it is "bacterial SSU rRNA". It matches the Rfam family "Bacterial small subunit ribosomal RNA", at positions 8 to 349 of the family's 1533-position model. The record is from RNAcentral.